CACCUGUAAACGCCGAAUUUCUUUUAAAAGAAACCGGGGGAACCAUAUUCUUGGGGUUAAUCCCGCUUCCAGUAUACACCUCUCGUCUUUGUCCGGAGCCGGGCAACGGUGGGAGAAAGACCGGGAGCGGCGUAGGGCACUUCCAGCCCGCACCCGUCAGCUAACCCCGGAGGCGUUGGAAGGGAGGUGGA
Molecule: small RNA, 191 nt
Filed under: Neomoorella thermoacetica
Lineage: Bacteria; Bacillati; Bacillota; Clostridia; Neomoorellales; Neomoorellaceae
Description: Moorella thermoacetica c-di-AMP sequence
Rfam family: c-di-AMP riboswitch aptamer (ydaO/yuaA leader)
About the family: This family represents a conserved RNA structure found upstream of the ydaO and yuaA genes in Bacillus subtilis and related genes in other bacteria. The ydaO/yuaA element is thought to act as a genetic "off" switch for the ydaO and yuaA genes in its native state.
Source: RNAcentral